GACAGAGGUCCCGAGCGUUAGGCGGAAUCACUGGGCUUAAAGCGUGUGUAGGCGGAUGCCUAAGUACCUUGUGAAAUCCCACGGCUCACCCGUGGAACUGCUUAGUAUACUGGGUGUCUUGAGCCACUUAGGGGUUACCGGAACAAAUGGUGGAGCGGUGAAAUGCGUAGAUAUCAUUUGGAACGCCAAUGGUGAAAACAGGUAGCUGGGAGUGUGCUGACGCUGAGACACGAAAGCCAGGGGAGCAAACGGG
This 253-nucleotide ribosomal RNA is filed under the name uncultured bacterium. Its description in RNAcentral is "partial 16S ribosomal RNA". It matches the Rfam family "Bacterial small subunit ribosomal RNA", at positions 524 to 776 of the family's 1533-position model. The record is from RNAcentral.